GUCUCUGAUCACGUCAAAAAAGCUGUGACCAACAGACCCAGGUCUUCACCAGUGACAGGCCAGCGCAGCAUCCUGUGGAAGGCGAGCAGAAGUGACCAUUGCACACCACCUCAUCCACAAUUUGCCAACCACACCUACCCCAUGGACACCAUCCACCCCAACUCCUUGGCCUUUUGGCAAGUCGAGGCUGUCCUCAUCUGCUCUCCAUUGGCCAAAUCAUGAAAAGCCGACCUUCAGCUUCAUCCUUAGCUCAGCCCUUUGGCUCCCAGCCUCCCCGUGACCACCUGUUCACUGCCCACCCUUCGCACCACCUUCCUCCCUGCAGCAGCGAGAAGGAGCCCAGCCAGGUCACCCCUGGUUCCUCCAGAAAGUGUCAGUGUAAGCAGCACCGUGGAGCAGACAGCAGCCCCUGUGCUCUGGCUGUGAAGGACAAGGAUCAAGUCUCCAGCCCCAAGGAAGAAGAAGAAGAAUCUCACAGGAGGGCUCAGUGUCCCCUGCGGGGAGGAGGUGACAGGCAAGGGUCCCAGCGGUGGCAGGGAGGCACCCAGCUGUCAGCACCGAAAG
This 564-nucleotide long non-coding RNA is filed under the name Columba livia (rock pigeon). RNAcentral describes it as "partial uncharacterized LOC106146119". Lineage: Eukaryota; Metazoa; Chordata; Aves; Columbiformes; Columbidae. The record is from RNAcentral.